RNAcentral lists this long non-coding RNA (562 nucleotides) under Pan troglodytes (chimpanzee). RNAcentral's name for it is "long non-coding RNA NONPTRT013890". Lineage: Eukaryota; Metazoa; Chordata; Mammalia; Primates; Hominidae. The record is from RNAcentral.
GGUGCAGCCCUGCCUCCCGCAAGACAGCACUGCCUUCCUGCUGGACACAGUUCUAAGGUGGAGCCUGGAGUGCCUGUAGCACAAAUCCCGGAAUUGGGAAGUGCCCAGCUUUGGGCCACUGUGAUCCCUGGGUCUUUCCCGCGCGCGUAGUCUCGUGCCGCCUUCCACCCCGGUCCUGUGUCCUGUGCCCCGGUUCAGGGUUGUCUCUGAAUUUUCACCCAGUUGUCUACCAAGAGCCAAGGACGUGGUCUUUUAUCAGUGGCACCUGAGACUUUCUUCCCUGUGGACGCAAAUCCAUUAUUCAGCACUCUGGGCACAGCUACAGAUCUGAUCAGCUAUCCAUUCUCCAAACUAUCUCAUCCUCUGUCCCAUUUUUCUGUCUCUCUUGUCCACAAGGCAUAUACCUGAGAGUUUUCAAAUUCCUCAGAGAAAUUUAGCUGUUCUGUGGCUUUGGCAUUCACCUAAUGUGUUAAUCUACAAACCUUUUUUACAGUGUGGAUUUUUUUUUCAUGAUGUGAAUUCAAGUGGUUUCUAAUGUUCUCUUCAUAAAGUUGUAAACCAA